AGAGUUUGAUCAUGGCUCAGAUUGAACGCUGGCGGCAGGCCUAACACAUGCAAGUCGAGCGGUAGAGAGAAGCUUGCUUCUCUUGAGAGCGGCGGACGGGUGAGUAAUGCCUAGGAAUCUGCCUGGUAGUGGGGGAUAACGUUCGGAAACGGACGCUAAUACCGCAUACGUCCUACGGGAGAAAGCAGGGGACCUUCGGGCCUUGCGCUAUCAGAUGAGCCUAGGUCGGAUUAGCUAGUUGGUGGGGUAAUGGCUCACCAAGGCGACGAUCCGUAACUGGUCUGAGAGGAUGAUCAGUCACACUGGAACUGAGACACGGUCCAGACUCCUACGGGAGGCAGCAGUGGGGAAUAUUGGACAAUGGGCGAAAGCCUGAUCCAGCCAUGCCGCGUGUGUGAAGAAGGUCUUCGGAUUGUAAAGCACUUUAAGUUGGGAGGAAGGGCAGUAAAUUAAUACUUUGCUGUUUUGACGUUACCGACAGAAUAAGCACCGGCUAACUCUGUGCCAGCAGCCGCGGUAAUACAGAGGGUGCAAGCGUUAAUCGGAAUUACUGGGCGUAAAGCGCGCGUAGGUGGUUAGUUAAGUUGGAUGUGAAAUCCCCGGGCUCAACCUGGGAACUGCAUUCAAAACUGACUGACUAGAGUAUGGUAGAGGGUGGUGGAAUUUCCUGUGUAGCGGUGAAAUGCGUAGAUAUAGGAAGGAACACCAGUGGCGAAGGCGACCACC
Molecule: ribosomal RNA, 726 nt
Filed under: uncultured Pseudomonas sp.
Lineage: Bacteria; Pseudomonadati; Pseudomonadota; Gammaproteobacteria; Pseudomonadales; Pseudomonadaceae
Description: bacterial SSU rRNA
Rfam family: Bacterial small subunit ribosomal RNA
Source: RNAcentral